UGGGGAAUAUUGGACAAUGGGCGCAAGCCUGAUCCAGCAAUUCCGCGUGGAUGAAGAAGGCCUUCGGAUUGUAAAGUCCUUUCGGCGGGGACGAUGAUGACGGUACCCGCAGAAGAAGCCCCGGCUAACUUCGUGCCAGCAGCCGCGGUAAUACGAAGGGGGCUAGCGUUGCUCGGAAUGACUGGGCGUAAAGGGCGCGUAGGCGGCGCAUUUAGUCAGGCGUGAAAUUCCUGGGCUCAACCUGGGGACUGCGCUUGAUACGGGUGUGCUAGAGGAUGGAAGAGGCUCGCGGAAUUCCCAGUGUAGAGGUGAAAUUCGUAGAUAUUGGGAAGAACACCGGUGGCGAAGGCGGCGAGCUGGUCCAUUACUGACGCUGAGGCGCGACAGCGUGGGGAGCAAAC
Molecule: ribosomal RNA, 401 nt
Filed under: uncultured bacterium
Lineage: Bacteria
Description: bacterial SSU rRNA
Rfam family: Bacterial small subunit ribosomal RNA
Source: RNAcentral